CCUACGGGUGGCAGCAGUGGGGCAUAUUGGGCAAUGGGCGCAAGCCUGACCCAGCAACGCCGCGUGAAGGAAGAAGGCUCUCGGGUUGUAAACUUCUUUUCUCAGGGACGAAGCAAGUGACGGUACCGGAGGAAUAAGCCACGGCUAACUACGUGCAAGCAGCCGCGGCAAUACGUAGGUGGCACGCGUUAUCCGGAUUUACUGGGUGUAAAGGGCGUGUAGGCGGGACUGCAAGUCAGAUGUGAAAACCACGGGCUCAACCUGUGGCCUGCAUGUGAAACUGUAGUUCUUGAGGACUGGAGAGGCAGACGGAAUUCCUAGUGUAGCGGUGAAAUGCGUAGAUAGUAGGAGGAACACCAGUGGCGAAGGCAGUCUGCUGGACAGCAACUGACGCCGAGGCGCGAAAGCGUGGGGAGCAAACAGGAUUAGAUACACUGGUAGUC
This 443-nucleotide ribosomal RNA is filed under the name uncultured bacterium. Its description in RNAcentral is "partial 16S ribosomal RNA". It matches the Rfam family "Bacterial small subunit ribosomal RNA", at positions 338 to 795 of the family's 1533-position model. The record is from RNAcentral.